ACAGUUUGAUCGCAAACUCUGUAACGGACGGAGAUCCAAGUAUUCCAAUCCUCAACUGGAUAUCUUAGCUCGGGCAUCGACAACCAAGAUGGUCAAGAAAGGGUUGCCAACGACUAUUUUCUGCGUCGUUUUGUUGGUCAUCAUUGGGACGUCAGUGGCCAAUGCUUCCUUCCCAAAUUGCAACCGAGUCUGCACCUUCGAAUACAAUCCCAUUUGUGGCAGCGAUGGGAGGACCUACUCGAAUCCCUGCCACUUCGCAAUCGGAAGAUGUCUUAAUCCCUACCUCACCGCACGGUGUAAAGGACGCUGC
Long non-coding RNA from Macrobrachium nipponense, 310 nucleotides. RefSeq lists it as uncharacterized. Lineage: Eukaryota; Metazoa; Arthropoda; Malacostraca; Decapoda; Palaemonidae. The transcript has 3 exons. The record is from RefSeq and is a predicted model, not a curated record.